This 495-nucleotide ribosomal RNA is filed under the name uncultured bacterium. Its description in RNAcentral is "partial 16S ribosomal RNA". It matches the Rfam family "Bacterial small subunit ribosomal RNA", at positions 28 to 507 of the family's 1533-position model. The record is from RNAcentral.
GAUGAACGCUGGCGGCGUGCCUAAUACAUGCAAGUAGAACGCUGAAGGAGGAGCUUGCUCUUCUGGAUGAGUUGCGAACGGGUGAGUAACGCGUAGGUAACCUGCCUGGUAGCGGGGGAUAACUAUUGGAAACGAUAGCUAAUACCGCAUGACAACAGUUAUUGCAUGAUAACUGUUUAAAAGGGGCAACUGCUCCACUACCAGAUGGACCUGCGUUGUAUUAGCUAGUUGGUGAGGUAACGGCUCACCAAGGCGACGAUACAUAGCCGACCUGAGAGGGUGAUCGGCCACACUGGGCCUGAGACACGGCCCAGACUCCUACGGGAGGCAGCAGUAGGGAAUCUUCGGCAAUGGACGGAAGUCUGACCGAGCAACGCCGCGUGAGUGAAGAAGGUUUUCGGAUCGUAAAGCUCUGUUGUAAGGGAAGAACGAGUGUGAGAGUGGAAAGUUCACACUGUGACGGUAACUUACCAGAAAGGGACGGCUAACUACGUG